This is a long non-coding RNA of Corvus hawaiiensis (hawaiian crow), 2251 nucleotides long. RefSeq lists it as uncharacterized. The transcript is spliced from 3 exons. Lineage: Eukaryota; Metazoa; Chordata; Aves; Passeriformes; Corvidae. The record is from RefSeq and is a predicted model, not a curated record.
CCUCAGCAGCAUAAACAGUUUCUGGGCUUUAGUGCAGUCUGUUAUUGCUGCAGAAAGAUGGAGUUUGCUAUAGGCAAAAUGUUUUUUCUUUUUUUGUGCUGUUUUGCCUCUGGGUUUGGGUAACGUUGCUUUGGUCAGUGAGGCUCUUUGUCACAAACUCUGCUGCGCUGAGAACUGCCCUUGAGAUGUUUGGUUUCUGUCACAGUCACUGUGUGUCUCUUUGGAGCAGGACACAGAAGUGCCUGAAAAAUACAGGCCUCUGUGAUCAGUAUCAAAGAAGUGUCUCCCAAUCACCAGAGUGAUGACAAACCCUGGGAGCAGCCCAUGCUGCAAAACUGAGAGACUUUUCCAACAGGCUGGAGCUGCUGCGUUCCAAACAGACCUGGAGAAAAUGUGUUCUCACUUUUGUAUCUGUGUGCUGAAAAACUGGAACAUUUCUCCUUAAUUCAGUGUCAUUCUGAUGCCUCAGGCAACUGCUAGAGUUUAUGCUUUUAAUCUAUUUAAUGACCUCUUCCCAUCACUCUUACCAGAAAUUUUUGUAAGAAGAGAGGGUCUAUUUUCACCUUGGAGAUGGUGUUCACUCCUCAUUCCUGCUUCAGCUCAGACUGUUCUAGUGAAAUCAGUCAUUUCCGAAUAAAUUUAGGUUAGAGCCAGCAAAGUAAUCAAGGACUCCUAAGGCAGCAGUGGGUUCACCUGUGAAGUUUAACACCUCCAGCACUCUUCCAGCACAACCUUUUGUGCAGAAUAACCUGAGCCUUCCAUGCAAGGAGGUUAAUGGGAAGAGCAGCUGUUCCUCAGAUCCUAAAAAUGCACACAUGGGCUUUGCCAUGUAGCUGUGAGAGCUGUGGGUCAGAGUGUGAGUGCCCCACAGCUGGGGGCACUUGGCAGGCUGCUAAUUCCCUCCUGUCAGCUGUCAGCAUUUCUAGCACUUUCUGAGCCACAAUCACAGUGGUCCCACUGUCAUUUCCUCUGUCUCCUCCAGGGUGAAGGCAAUUAGAUUGGAAUAAUUCUUUUUGUUGGUACCAAAACAGAACAGCUGGAGGGCAUGGUCAGAACACCUGCCAAAGUUCCUGCCUCUCUCUGGGGUUUGGGUGCCUUGGUCCGUUUGGACUGUGCAGCCUCAGAGCCCCUCGGAGCUGCAUGGCUCUGGUCAGUGCAGUGUCCUGCGAGAUGGCACAUGGAGGCUGGGAUCCCGGCCUGCCUGUGGAGGCACUGGUGUGGCACAUUCUGUUGCUGCAGCUCAUGUGGGGUGGGGAAGGAGGACAUCCAUGGCAUCUGCUGUGGCACCUCCCUUGCAGCGUGGCCCAGGGAGGAAUGUCCUACUGGGCUGAGCUCUGUGGAGGAUUUGCACGCUCGGGGACAGCCCAGGGGGGCUCUGCCUUCCCCCCCCAGCGCAGUGACAUGACACACUUGCUGUACUCAUUCUGCAGCCCAUUAAGAUGGCCUGGGUAGCAUUUGGCAAUUAACAGGGAUGACAAUGAAUGUUCAACAAAAGAGACAUCAGCACAAUAUACACACGGGCAAUUUGGAAAUUACAUCUGUGCCUUCAAAUGGACACAUGGAUUGCUUGGGAGCUCUGAAGCCAAACAUGCAGGAGUGUGUGCACAUGAGGUUUUGCCUAAGGUUGCUCUGAAGGACUUGUUCCAACAUGUACCGCAACUGCCUUCUCAGAGCACUAAUAGGAACACAGAUAAGUAUCUGAAUUGCAACACUUUGUGCUCAUAAAAUUAAAGCUUAUUAUGCUGAUUAAUGACUAAUGAAAUGCAUGCAAAUAAAAAGUGCAAAGUUCUCCUCACUCCUCAGUAUUGCUGCUGCCCCACUUUGAGCCUGCCCUGAGCUUUGACACCUGACACUACAAUAGUUGUAUUUCUUAUUCCUGCUUUGCAAUGGUUUGGGUUUUCUAGCUCUGUUCCUCCAUGUAAGUCUGUUGUCUCAGUAAGCAAGUGCCAGUGAUAACCCAGGUGCAGAUCUUGUAAUGCAAACUUUAAAAAGGAAAGAAUCCUCAAACUGGCAUUUUCUUCCUAGGUCUGGUAAGAAACCAUCUAAUUUUAGUCUGCUUUUUGUCUGUAAUGAGUGCUUAUGCCAUGAUUAAGAAGGGGAUUUUGUGAGUUUAUUGGUGGUUUGUAUUUAUUUUGUCAUAUACCAUAACAUGCAAUAAACCAUAUUAGGAAGCUGAUUUACAUUGUAGAUGGAAACUCAUUAAGUGUAUAAACAUUAUAAGAACACCUUGAUAAGAAAGCCACAGAUGUGA